AUGUGCGGCCACCAGGAGGAGUCGCUGUUUCAUUCUCUGGUGAUGUGCGACCACGCGAAGUUGUUCUGGAGAGAGGCAGAGACUUUCUUCGAGUUUAAGCUGCUGCGGCUACACCCAGUUACGUGGUCGAGGGACUUGCUUGAACCCAGCUUCAUUGGGAAAGACCGAGCGGCCAUCAUUAUCUCAGUCAUGUGGAUAAUAUGGUCGAGCAGGAACAAGUAUACUCAUGAGGAGGUCAAAUACCAGCCCGGGAGGUCAAUGGUUCUAGUGAAGGAACUCAUUCAAGCUCUGUACAUUCCUUCCAAAGCUGUCGAUAGGAGAAGUCUCGAGAAGGAGAAAUGGAAACCGCCGAAAGAAGGAUGGUGUAAAAUCAAUACGGAUGCUUCUGUGGAUGUGAAUAGGGGAUCAUCAGCCAUCGGGCUAGUGGCUCGGGACCAUGGCGGAGAACUUAUGCUAGCCAGGGGCCGCAAGCUGUCGGGGGUGACUGGCCCAUACUGCGCUGAAUUGCUAGGUGUCAGGGAAGUUGUGCAUCUGGCUAUGGAGAAGGGCUGGACGCGGGUGACCAUCGAAUCGGACUGCAAAACUGUCAUAGAUGAGUACAUGGCGACGGAGUGCAGGUCGAUAGGAAGCCCAAUCAUCAGCGAGAUCAAAUCCUAUCUCCAGAACUUUCAGGGUUUACGAGUCAACUAUGUUAGAAGAGAGGCCAAUGAGGCUGCUCACCGGUGUGCCAGAGAGAGCCUUGCGAGUGCUUCGAAUGUAAUAUCCUUUGAUGUUUUCCGUGCUUCAUUGAUUGCCCUAGUGCAAUCGGAUGUAAACCGUCUAAGUAAUGAAUAA
RNAcentral lists this ribosomal RNA (834 nucleotides) under Triticum aestivum (bread wheat). RNAcentral's name for it is "partial small subunit ribosomal RNA". Lineage: Eukaryota; Viridiplantae; Streptophyta; Magnoliopsida; Poales; Poaceae. The record is from RNAcentral.